This 490-nucleotide ribosomal RNA is filed under the name uncultured bacterium. RNAcentral's name for it is "bacterial SSU rRNA". It matches the Rfam family "Bacterial small subunit ribosomal RNA", at positions 28 to 507 of the family's 1533-position model. The record is from RNAcentral.
GAUGAACGCUAGCGGGAGGCUUAACACAUGCAAGUCGAGGGGCAGCAUAGGGUAGCAAUACUCUGAUGGCGACCGGCAAACGGGUGAGUAACGCGUAUGCAACCUACCCUGUACAGGGGGAUAACCCGGAGAAAUUCGGACUAAUAUCCCGUAAUAAUAUCCGGAGGCAUCUUUGGAUAUUUAAAGUUCCGACGGUACGGGAUGGGCAUGCGUAACAUUAGCUGGUUGGUAAGGUAACGGCUUACCAAGGCUAUGAUGUUUAGGGGUCCUGAGAGGGUGGUCCCCCACACUGGUACUGAGACACGGACCAGACUCCUACGGGAGGCAGCAGUGAGGAAUAUUGGUCAAUGGGCGCAAGCCUGAACCAGCCACUCCCGCGUGCAGGAAGACGGCCCUAUGGGUUGUAAACUGCUUUUCCUAGGGAGAGAACUUAACGCACGUGUUGCGUGACUGACGGUACCCUGGGAAGUAAGCAUCGGCUAACUCCGUG